RNAcentral lists this ribosomal RNA (497 nucleotides) under uncultured bacterium. Its description in RNAcentral is "partial 16S ribosomal RNA". It matches the Rfam family "Bacterial small subunit ribosomal RNA", at positions 28 to 507 of the family's 1533-position model. The record is from RNAcentral.
GAUGAACGCUGGCGGCGUGCCUAAUACAUGCAAGUCGAGCGAACGGACGAGAAGCUUGCUUCUCUGAUGUUAGCGGCGGACGGGUGAGUAACACGUGGAUAACCUACCUAUAAGACUGGGAUAACUUCGGGAAGCCGUAGCUAAUACCGGAUAAUAUUUUGAACCGCAUGGUUCAAAAGUGAAAGACGGUCUUGCUGUCACUUAUAGAUUGCUCCGCGCUGCAUUAGCUAGUUGGUAAGGUAACGGCUUACCAAGGCAACGAUGCAUAGCCGACCUGAGAGGGUGAUCGGCCACACUGGAACUGGGACACGGUCCAGACUCCUAAGGGAGGCAGCAGUAGGGAAUCUUCCGCAAAGGGCGAAAGCCUGACGGAGCAACGCCGCGUGAGUGAUGAAGGUCUUCGGAUCGUAAACCUCUGUUAUUAGGGAAGAACAUAUGUGUAAGUAACUGUGCACAUCUUGACGGUACCUAAUCAGAAAGCCACGGCUAACUACGUG